RNAcentral lists this ribosomal RNA (279 nucleotides) under uncultured bacterium. RNAcentral's name for it is "partial 16S ribosomal RNA". It matches the Rfam family "Bacterial small subunit ribosomal RNA", at positions 506 to 784 of the family's 1533-position model. The record is from RNAcentral.
UGCCAGCAGCCGCGGUAAUACAGGGGUCUCAAGCGUUGUUCGGAUUCAUUGGGCGUAAAGGGUGCGUAGGCGGCGCCGUAAGUCGGAUGUGAAAUCCCGGAGCUUAACUUCGGAACUGCAUUCGAUACUGCGGUGCUAGAGGGCUGGAGAGGAGAUCGGAAUUCAUGGUGUAGCAGUGAAAUGCGUAGAUAUCAUGAGGAAGACCAGUGGCGAAGGCGGAUCUCUGGACAGUUCCUGACGCUGAGGCACGAAGGCUAGGGUAGCGAACGGGAUUAGAUA